RNAcentral lists this ribosomal RNA (292 nucleotides) under uncultured Planctomycetota bacterium. RNAcentral describes it as "uncultured planctomycete partial 16S ribosomal RNA". The record is from RNAcentral. Lineage: Bacteria; Pseudomonadati; Planctomycetota.
GGACUACUGGGGUAUCUAAUCCCGUUUGCUCCCCUGGCUUUCGCGCCUCAGCGUCAGAAGAGGUCCAGCAGCUCGCUUUCGCCACCGGCGUUCCUUCCGAUAUCAACGCAUUUCACCGCUCCACCGGAAGUUCCAGCUGCCCCUACCUCGCUCUAGACCCCCAGUAUCCAGGGCUAUUUUCCGGUUGAGCCGAAAGAUUUCACCCCGAACUUGGGAACCCGCCUACGCGCCCUUUAAGCCCAGUGAUUCCGAACAACGUUCGCACGGUUCGUCUUACCGCGGCUGCUGGCAC